CGAACGCGAGUCGGUCGGCCCCACCGCAGCCGGCCCCGGGCCGGUCGGCCCGCUAGCGGGCCCUGGACCGGCCGGUUCGGCCCCGGCCACGUUCGG
Molecule: transfer RNA, 96 nt
Filed under: Actinoplanes auranticolor
Lineage: Bacteria; Bacillati; Actinomycetota; Actinomycetes; Micromonosporales; Micromonosporaceae
Description: tRNA-Arg
Source: RNAcentral